RNAcentral lists this ribosomal RNA (1119 nucleotides) under Limosilactobacillus fermentum. RNAcentral describes it as "bacterial SSU rRNA". It matches the Rfam family "Bacterial small subunit ribosomal RNA", at positions 328 to 1437 of the family's 1533-position model. The record is from RNAcentral. Lineage: Bacteria; Bacillati; Bacillota; Bacilli; Lactobacillales; Lactobacillaceae.
GCCCCAUAUUCCUACGGGGAGGCAGCAGUAGGGAAUCUUCCCCCAAUGGGCGCAAGCCUGAUGGAGCAACACCGCGUGGAGUGAAGAAGGGUUUCGGCUCGUAAAGCUCUGUUGUUAAAGAAGAACACGUAUGAGAGUAACUGUUCAUACGUUGACGGUAUUUAACCAGAAAGUCACGGCUAACUACGUGCCAGCAGCCGCGGUAAUACGUAGGUGGCAAGCGUUAUCCGGAUUUAUUGGGCGUAAAGAGAGUGCAGGCGGUUUUCUAAGUCUGAUGUGAAAGCCUUCGGCUUAACCGGAGAAGUGCAUCGGAAACUGGAUAACUUGAGUGCAGAAGAGGGUAGUGGAACUCCAUGUGUAGCGGUGGAAUGCGUAGAUAUAUGGAAGAACACCAGUGGCGAAGGCGGCUACCUGGUCUGCAACUGACGCUGAGACUCGAAAGCAUGGGUAGCGAACAGGAUUAGAUACCCUGGUAGUCCAUGCCGUAAACGAUGAGUGCUAGGUGUUGGAGGGUUUCCGCCCUUCAGUGCCGGAGCUAACGCAUUAAGCACUCCGCCUGGGGAGUACGACCGCAAGGUUGAAACUCAAAGGAAUUGACGGGGGCCCGCACAAGCGGUGGAGCAUGUGGUUUAAUUCGAAGCUACGCGAAGAACCUUACCAGGUCUUGACAUCUUGCGCCAACCCUAGAGAUAGGGCGUUUCCUUCGGGAACGCAAUGACAGGUGGUGCAUGGUCGUCGUCAGCUCGUGUCGUGAGAUGUUGGGUUAAGUCCCGCAACGAGCGCAACCCUUGUUACUAGUUGCCAGCAUUAAGUUGGGCACUCUAGUGAGACUGCCGGUGACAAACCGGAGGAAGGUGGGGACGACGUCAGAUCAUCAUGCCCCUUAUGACCUGGGCUACACACGUGCUACAAUGGACGGUACAACGAGUCGCGAACUCGCGAGGGCAAGCAAAUCUCUUAAAACCGUUCUCAGUUCGGACUGCAGGCUGCAACUCGCCUGCACGAAGUCGGAAUCGCUAGUAAUCGCGGAUCAGCAUGCCGCGGUGAAUACGUUCCCGGGCCUUGUACACACCGCCCGUCACACCAUGAGAGUUUGUAACACCCAAAGUCGGUGGGGUA